AUAUAAACUAUUUGAACUUCAUAGCUAAUUUGAUUCAACCGCAGAAUGCAGGGACUCCUUCACUCUCCAUAGGAAUCACUGAAAUUCUUAACACAAACCUUCUGACGGAACUAACCACUGAUGACAUUGGAUACGUCUACCAAAGGUUUACUUAUCCUUACUGCUACUGAAAGUUUCUGAUGUUAAAAGAUUGUAACCAGGGGCAUGAUUUUAAACAAUCGGCGAUAAGCUUUCCUUAUGCAUUAUGCAGCAUGGACUAAGCUCGUGGGUUUACAAUUAAACCCACACUCUGUUUGUUUUGUGGGUUCAUGGGCUGUUGCUCAUCUGUUAUACAGAUAAACAAGGCGCAACAUUAACUAGAAAGCUGGGGCCACUUCUCUUAAUGCCUAGAUCCCCUUAUCAUGUUUGCUGUAGCAUGAUCAUUAUUGCAAACAUCUAAAAUCACUUCAAUGUCGACUUAUAGCCUGACUGUAUUCACGAGUUGCGGAAUAGGAAAGGCAUACGAUCCCAACUACCGGUAUAAAUUUGUACACUAGUGCAGUGAAUUUUACUUGUUGCACCAACUGGAAAAGAUUAGGAACUUUCUUCGCUUAUCACCUAGUGCAAGCUCAACAACUUUUGAGUUAUGGCAUUGCUUGUACAUGGAUGUCCAUUUGUUGAGCUCAAUUUCCUUUCUUUUGCAGUAGCCCAGGGAAACUGUUAAGUGUCCCUAUUCCGACAUUUGAAACCCUUACUCAAUUUGGCGUCGCUACUGUCUCUGCUAAGAAUAUUGGUUAAGUGGAAGCAUCAUAUAGCUUAACGUUUGACUGCUCAAGAGGUGUUGUGGUCAUGGAGGUAACAUUAACUACCAUAUAGAUUCUAAUUCCUAACCACUCGGUGAAGGAUACAAUCCAAUUUCAAUGUUUCAAUGGUUGCAAGAACAAUUCUUCAUUUUGAAGCUGAGCGAGGUUACAAUUCGGUCAUUUAAAAUUUACCCAGCAACUGAUAAAGCUGCAUGAUCUGUAUGUGCUGUUGCCACAUACAAUAUGUAUAUGUAUGAGUUUGAUCGUGCUGUUUGGACUGCUUUUGGCUAUUUUU
Long non-coding RNA from Populus euphratica (Euphrates poplar), 1077 nucleotides. RefSeq lists it as uncharacterized. The record is from RefSeq and is a predicted model, not a curated record. The transcript has 3 exons. Lineage: Eukaryota; Viridiplantae; Streptophyta; Magnoliopsida; Malpighiales; Salicaceae.